GUGCAGCGCGGCGGUGUUUUGCAGCCUGUGCGAGUAGGCGCUUUGGGCCCAGUCUCCCGAAUAGCGGUGCGCAGAAAUCUCGAACUGGUGGAGCCCACUCGUAACCUGGAGCCCGGAAGACUGCGAAGACAGUGCCGUUUCCUCAGCGGCGGACUGCUGCAGUAAGAAUGUCUUUUCCCCCUCAUUUGAAUCGCCCUCUGAUGGGAAUCCCAGCACUCCCACCAGGGAUCCCACCCCCACAGUUUCCUGGCUUUCCUCCACCCGUGCCUCCAGGGACCCCAAUGAUUCCUGUACCGAUGAGCAUUAUGGUUCCUGCUCCAACUGUCUUAGUACCCACCGUGUCCAUGGUUGGAAAGCAUUUGGGAGCAAGAAAGGAUCAUCCAGGCUUGAAGGCUAAAGAAAAUGAUGAAAACUGUGGUCCCACCACUACAAUUUUUGUUGGCAACAUUUCUGAGAAAGCCUCAGACAUGCUUAUAAGACAGCUCCUUGCUAAAUGUGGCUUGGUUUUGAGCUGGAAGAGAGUCCAGGGUGCAUCUGGAAAACUUCAAGCCUUUGGAUUCUGUGAGUAUAAGGAACCAGAAUCUACGUUCCGUGCACUCCGGUUAUUGCUUGACCUGCAGAUUGGAGAGAAUAAGCUACUUGUUAAAGUUGAUGCAAAGACAAAGGCACAGCUAGGUGAAUGGAAAGCAAAGAAGAAAGCUUCUAAUGGGAAUGCCAGGCCAGAAACUGUCACUAAUGAUGACGAAGAAGCCUUAGAUGAAGAAACAAAGAGAAGAGAUCAGAUGAUCAAAGGGGCCAUUGAAGUUUUAAUACGGGAAUACUCCAGUGAGCUCAAUGCCCCCUCAGAAGAAUCUGACUCUCACCCCAGGAAGAAGAAGAAGGAAAAGAAGGAGGACAUCUUUCGUAGAUUUCCCGUGGCCCCACUGAUCCCUUAUCCACUCAUCACUAAGGAGGAUAUAAAUGCUAUAGAAAUGGAAGAAGACAAGAGAGACCUAAUAUCUCGAGAGAUCAGCAAAUUCAGAGACACACACAAGAAACUGGAAGAAGAGAAAGGCAAAAAGGAAAAAGAAAGACAGGAAAUUGAGAAAGAACGGAGAGAAAGAGAGAGGGAGCGUGAAAGGGAACGAGAAAGGCGAAAACGGGAACGAGAAAGGGAAAGAGAACGUGAACGAGAAAAGGAGAAAGAACGGGAGCGGGAACGAGAACGGGAUAGGGAUCGUGACCGGACGAAAGAGAGAGAUCGAGACCGGGAUCGAGAGCGAGAUCGGGACCGCGAUCGAGAAAGGAGCUCAGAUCGGAAUAAGGAUCAGAGUCUAUCAAGAGAAAAGAGCAGAGAUCGUGAAAGGGAACGGGAGAGGGAAAGAGAAAGAGAGAGAGAACGGGAACGAGAGCGGGAGCAUGAGCGAGAGAGAGAGAGAGAGAGAAAGGGAACAGGAGCGUGAGCGAGAGAAAGACAAGAAGCGAGAUCGAGAAAAAGACGAAGAAGAUGCAUAUGAACGAAGAAAACUUGAAAGAAAGCUCCGAGAGAAGGAGGCUGCCUAUCAAGAGCGCCUUAAGAAUUGGGAAAUCAGAGAACGAAAGAAAACCCGGGAGUAUGAAAAAGAGGCUGAAAGAGAAGAAGAAAGAAGAAGAGAAAUGGCAAAAGAAGCUAAACGACUAAAAGAAUUCUUAGAAGACUAUGAUGAUGAUAGAGAUGAUCCCAAAUAUUACAGAGGAAGUGCUCUUCAGAAAAGAUUGCGUGAUAGGGAAAAGGAAAUGGAAGCGGAUGAACGGGAUAGGAAGAAAGAGAAAGAAGAGCUGGAGGAAAUCAGGCAGCGCCUUCUGGCAGAAGGGCACCCGGAUCCAGAUGCAGAGCUCCAGCGGAUGGAACAAGAGGCUGAGAGGCGCAGACAACCACAGAUAAAGCAAGAACCAGAAUCUGAGGAAGAGGAAGAAGAAAAGCAAGAAAAAGAAGAAAAACGUGAGGAACCCAUGGAAGAAGAAGAGGAGCCAGAGCAAAAACCUUGUCUCAAACCAACUCUGAGGCCCAUCAGUUCUGCCCCAUCCGUCUCCUCUGCCAGCGGCAAUGCAACUCCCAACACUCCUGGGGAUGAGUCUCCCUGUGGUAUUAUUAUUCCUCACGAAAAUUCACCAGAUCAACAACAACUUGAAGAGCAUAGGCCAAAAAUAGGACUAAGUCUUAAACUGGGUGCUUCCAAUAGUCCUGGUCAACCUAAUUCUGUGAAAAGAAAGAAGCUCCCGGUAGAUAGUGUCUUUAACAAAUUUGAGGAUGAAGACAGUGAUGAUGUACCCCGGAAAAGGAAACUGGUUCCCUUGGAUUAUGGUGAAGAUGAUAAGAAUGCUGCCAAAGGCACUGUAAACACGGAAGAAAAGCGCAAGCACAUUAAAAGUCUCAUUGAGAAAAUCCCCACAGCCAAGCCGGAGCUGUUUGCCUAUCCCCUGGAUUGGUCUAUUGUGGAUUCUAUAUUGAUGGAACAACGAAUUAGACCAUGGAUUAAUAAAAAAAUCAUAGAAUAUGUAGGUGAAGAAGAAGCUACAUUGAUUUUGUUUGUUCUAAGGUUAUGGCUCAUAGUUCACCUCAGAGCAUUUUAGAUGAUGUUGCCAAGGUACUUGAUGAAGAAGCAGAAGUUUUUAUAGUCAAGAUGUGGAGAUUAUUGAUAUAUGAAACAGAAGCCAAGAAAAUUGGUCUUGUGAAGUAAAACUCUUUGACAUUAAGAGUUCCAUUUCAGAUUUCUUCUUUCCCAUCCUUCAAAGGACUUUAAUUUUUUUUUGUCUUCAAAGACAUUUGUGAGAUCUGUAAUUUUUUUUUUAAUGUAGAAAAUGUGAAUUUUUUUGUCCUCUAAUUUGUUGAUGCCGUGUGUACUCCCUUGGUUGUAAAGACAUCUGAAUCCUACCAUGGUUCUCUUUAUACUCACCAGGUACAAAUUACUGGUAUGUUUUAUAAGCCGCAGCUACUGUACACAGCCUAUCUGAUAUAAUCUUGUUCUGCU
Non-coding RNA from Odocoileus virginianus texanus, 2990 nucleotides. Lineage: Eukaryota; Metazoa; Chordata; Mammalia; Artiodactyla; Cervidae. The record is from RefSeq and is a predicted model, not a curated record.